GACGAACGCUGGCGGCGUGCUUAACACAUGCAAGUCGAACGGAAAGGCCCUGCUUUUGUGGGGUGCUCGAGUGACGAACGGGUGAGUAACACGUGAGUAACCUGCCCUUGACUUUGGGAUAACUUCAGGAAACUGGGGCUAAUACCGGAUAGGAGCUCCUGCUGCAUGGUGGGGGUUGGAAAGUUUCGGCGGUUGGGGAUGGACUCGCGGCUUAUCAGCUUUUUGGUGGGGUAGUGGCUUACCAAGGCUUUGACGGGUAGCCGGCCUGAGAGGGUGACCGGCCACAUUGGGACUGAGAUACGGCCCAGACUCCUACGGGAGGCAGCAGUGGGGAAUAUUGCACAAUGGGCGGAAGCCUGAUGCAGCAACGCCGCGUGCGGGAUGACGGCCUUCGGGUUGUAAACCGCUUUCGCCUGUGACGAAGCGUGAGUGACGGUAAUGGGUAAAGAAGCACCGGCUAACUACGUG
Molecule: ribosomal RNA, 468 nt
Filed under: uncultured bacterium
Lineage: Bacteria
Description: partial 16S ribosomal RNA
Rfam family: Bacterial small subunit ribosomal RNA
Source: RNAcentral